Molecule: long non-coding RNA, 2097 nt
Organism: Drosophila miranda
Lineage: Eukaryota; Metazoa; Arthropoda; Insecta; Diptera; Drosophilidae
Exons: 3
Source: RefSeq, a predicted model, not a curated record
CUUUGCAGAAAACGACAUGCAAUAUUGAUAGCCAAAAAAACCGCCAUUGUAUUUGUUUACAUAUGCAAAACAAUUUGAUUUUUGAAUUUAAAACCAAUUGGGGCUAUUUAAAACAAUAAGUAAAUAAAUAUUUAAUCAUUUGGUGUUGGUGGCACACUUGGAGCUGCGUCUGCGCCGGGUGUUGGUACUGGGAGUGGGUGGAACCUCUGGAUGCCGGGUUUUACUAAAACUUUGGGCCUUACCUAGCAUGGCCCGUCCGUAUUCUUCGUUUGGCUAGAAUUUGCGGCAUUUGUUCAAGGUGGCAGCCGCGUCGUCUUUGUUCGCUUGGAGCAUGCAAAUCUGUCAACAAAUUGGCGGCGAUUAGGCGUCACCACCCACCACCUACCACCAGGAGGAGUAGGAGAGCCUCCCACGUGGGAAUCAUAUGCCGCCUAGAGAUAGAAAUGCCGGCCAGUUUGUCGGUCAACAAUUUAGACAUAAUUUGAAAGCGUCGCCUCGUUUCAGUCCACACGCAAAGCGUGGUCCUCGCUUACGCAAUGGCCACAUGUCAAAUUAUGCAUAAUGGGAGCGCCAGCAGUGGAGUGGAAUGGAGCCAGGUGGUUUGGGCAGGAGGUGGGCUCAGAUGGCACCCAACGCAAGGCUUAAAACUGUCCCAUGUUCCACAUUAUGCACGAGAUUCAUCAACACCCAACGACCAGCCCCACUGCAAACCAGCUUUUGAUGAACUGCUACUGAUGAUGGGUAAUAUGUAAAGCAAAAGCAGACACAAACAUGUAAUUUUGUUUAUAGUUUAUAGUGGAUUUGUGUUCUAGUCUCCAUCCAGACACUCAUUACAUAUAAUAUAUAUGGAUGGGUAAGUGUGUGUGUGUCUUAACAAAUACAUUUAAUAUAUAUAUUCAACAUUAUAUAUUUCAGUUGUUGGGGUUGUUGUUGCGAUCCUCUACUUUUGUGGGACAUUGCACUGCAUGCAGCUCUCCAUCUGGGCAGUAUAAUCCUCAAUUUGUAUGGUCGUCUCAAAGAAGUUGUAGCGCAAGUGCACCGCCGAAGUGGCUGCAUCCAGUAUCUGCUUUGGAUUGGCAUUAGAAGCUGUUUGUGUGUGUGCGGGAAGAAGAAGGAAACGAUUAAGCGGUAUCAGCGUAGAUGAUAACAUUAAUGGAAUGAGGAGGAGUGCAGAACCCCUCUGUUCAGUUUCUCUCUUUCAAAAUUGUCCACGCUUAAAAAGCCAUUUCAAAAAUAAUUAAGCUAAUUGCGCACUGACUGCCCAUGGACAUGGACAAGGAGCAGUACCAGGCAGCCGCAGCAGCAGGAAGGACUGCCACCAGCAUUGGAGUGGAGUGGAGGAAAAGCAGCUUGAAACAACAACAAAUCCAUUGGGAUAAUUACCAUACCCAAAGCGCGCUUGGUUGUGGGUCGAUGGGGGCCAUGGACAAACACAUGUAUCAGCAACCUUUUUGGCCUGUUUCGAGCCAUGGACAUGGGCUCCCACACACACACACACACACACACACACACACACACACACACGGAUGGACGAACACCCUGGGGCUGCUACUCACCAAUGGCCAAAUGCGCAGAUAGCGCCACUUUAUUAAUGCUCAGCGCCCAGAUGCGCAAAUUGUGGACCCGCUCAACGCCCUCGAUGCCUUGGAAAAUCUGCAGUACUUCGGUAUAAUGCAUAUAGUUGGGUGUACCCUCCAUCAGUACCUGCCAAAAAAAAAAGGAAAGCAACGAAUAUAUACGAUUACUUAUAUGCUUUUGCCCAGCCAUUUAACAUUCGCUUUUUGUUGGUUGUUGUUAAAUGAACUUAAAUCCUUGAUAAUUGUUCCUAUUCAACGUUUUAAAACUGAUUCAAAUAACAAUAUCUAUCAAAUUAUUGGAUUCAAUUAUGGGUAGUCAAUUCAUUCAAUGAAUGAGUGAAAUUUUAAAUGAUAUUAUUAUUGAAUUCAUGUUUGAAUGUACAUGUUUCUGUUGUUUUUUGAUGGAUGAUUCAAGUUACGAAAAUGUAUUUUCGCCAUUUCCAAUAUGGUGUGUGUGAAAAGAGCAUUUAAAAUUGUAUUUAAAUGAGAUUCAAUGAUUAAACUGUAAAAAUGAUUUUAA